UGGGGAAUAUUGGGCAAUGGGCGAAAGCCUGACCCAGCAACGCCGCGUGAAGGAAGCAGGCUUUCGGGUUGUAAACUUCUUUGACCAGGGACGAAAAAAAUGACGGUACCUGGAAAACAAGCCACGGCUAACUACGUGCCAGCAGCCGCGGUAAUACGUAGGUGGCAAGCGUUGUCCGGCUUUACUGCGUGUAAAGGGCGCGUAGGCGGGAUUGCAAGUCAGCUGUGAAAUGCUGGGGCUUAACCCUGGAACUGCAUUUGAAACUGUGAGUCUUGAGUAUCGGAGAGGCAGGCGGAAUUCCAAGUGUAGCGGUGAAAGGCGUAGAUAUUUGGAGGAACACCAGUGGCGAAGGCGGCCUGCUGGACGACAACUGACGCUGAGGCGCGAAAGCGUGGGGAGCAAACA
Molecule: ribosomal RNA, 405 nt
Filed under: uncultured prokaryote
Description: bacterial SSU rRNA
Rfam family: Bacterial small subunit ribosomal RNA
Source: RNAcentral